RNAcentral lists this signal recognition particle RNA (100 nucleotides) under Candidatus Onthenecus intestinigallinarum. Its description in RNAcentral is "signal recognition particle sRNA small type". It matches the Rfam family "Bacterial small signal recognition particle RNA". Rfam says of the family: The signal recognition particle (SRP) is a universally conserved ribonucleoprotein involved in the co-translational targeting of proteins to membranes. Lineage: Bacteria; Bacillati; Bacillota; Clostridia; Eubacteriales. The record is from RNAcentral.
GGACGGGUCCCGUGCAAUGGCGCUGCGUGAACCUUGUCAGGUCCGGAAGGAAGCAGCAAUAAGCGCUCUGCGGCAUGUGCCGCGGGGUUGCCUGGCCUGA